This 459-nucleotide ribosomal RNA is filed under the name Salmonella enterica subsp. enterica serovar Heidelberg. Its description in RNAcentral is "bacterial SSU rRNA". It matches the Rfam family "Bacterial small subunit ribosomal RNA", at positions 1 to 456 of the family's 1533-position model. The record is from RNAcentral. Lineage: Bacteria; Pseudomonadati; Pseudomonadota; Gammaproteobacteria; Enterobacterales; Enterobacteriaceae.
AAAUUGAAGAGUUUGAUCAUGGCUCAGAUUGAACGCUGGCGGCAGGCCUAACACAUGCAAGUCGAACGGUAACAGGAAGCAGCUUGCUGCUUCGCUGACGAGUGGCGGACGGGGGAGUAAUGUCUGGGAAACUGCCUGAUGGAGGGGGAUAACUACUGGAAACGGUGGCUAAUACCGCAUAACGUCGCAAGACCAAAGAGGGGGACCUUCGGGCCUCUUGCCAUCAGAUGUGCCCAGAUGGGAUUAGCUUGUUGGUGAGGUAACGGCUCACCAAGGCGACGAUCCCUAGCUGGUCUGAGAGGAUGACCAGCCACACUGGAACUGAGACACGGUCCAGACUCCUACGGGAGGCAGCAGUGGGGAAUAUUGCACAAUGGGCGCAAGCCUGAUGCAGCCAUGCCGCGUGUAUGAAGAAGGCCUUCGGGUUGUAAAGUACUUUCAGCGGGGAGGAAGGUGUUG